RNAcentral lists this non-coding RNA (85 nucleotides) under bovine gut metagenome. Its description in RNAcentral is "S10-Clostridia ribosomal protein leader". It matches the Rfam family "S10-Clostridia ribosomal protein leader". The record is from RNAcentral.
GAUAGCUAUGAAGCGUGAGGUUGCUGCUGAGUAAAUCAGCAGGUUUUCCGUGGAGCGAAUGUCAAGUUACUAAAACUGACGACAA